AUUGAACGCUGGCGGCGUGCUUAACACAUGCAAGUCGAUCGGUAACAGGUGUAGCAAUACAUGCCGACGAGAGGCGGACGGGUGAGUAAUGCUUGGGAAUCUGCCUAUUAGUGGGGGACAACCCGGGGAAACUCGGGCUAAUACCGCAUACGCUCUACGGAGGAAAGCCGGGGACCGCAAGGCCUGGCGCUAAUAGAUGAGCCCAAGUCGGAUUAGCUAGUUGGUAGGGUAACGGCCACCAAGGCGACAAUCCGUAGCUGGUCUGAGAGGACGACCAGCCACACCGGAACUGAGACACGGUCCGGACUCCUACGGGAGGCAGCAGUGGGGAAUAUUGGACAAGUGGGGGCAACCCUGAUCCAGCGACGCCGCGUGGGUGAAGAAGGCCUG
RNAcentral lists this ribosomal RNA (390 nucleotides) under uncultured bacterium. RNAcentral describes it as "bacterial SSU rRNA". It matches the Rfam family "Bacterial small subunit ribosomal RNA", at positions 29 to 418 of the family's 1533-position model. The record is from RNAcentral.